Molecule: ribosomal RNA, 923 nt
Filed under: Bacillus sp. (in: firmicutes)
Lineage: Bacteria; Bacillati; Bacillota; Bacilli; Caryophanales; Bacillaceae
Description: bacterial SSU rRNA
Rfam family: Bacterial small subunit ribosomal RNA
Source: RNAcentral
GAAGGGAGCUUGCUCCCGGAUGUUAGCGGCGGACGGGUGAGUAACACGUGGGUAACCUGCCUGUAAGACUGGGAUAACUCCGGGAAACCGGAGCUAAUACCGGAUAGUUCCUUGAACCGCAUGGUUCAAGGAUGAAAGACGGUUUCGGCUGUCACUUACAGAUGGACCCGCGGCGCAUUAGCUAGUUGGUGGGGUAAUGGCUCACCAAGGCGACGAUGCGUAGCCGACCUGAGAGGGUGAUCGGCCACACUGGGACUGAGACACGGCCCAGACUCCUACGGGAGGCAGCAGUAGGGAAUCUUCCGCAAUGGACGAAAGUCUGACGGAGCAACGCCGCGUGAGUGAUGAAGGUUUUCGGAUCGUAAAGCUCUGUUGUUAGGGAAGAACAAGUGCGAGAGUAACUGCUCGCACCUUGACGGUACCUAACCAGAAAGCCACGGCUAACUACGUGCCAGCAGCCGCGGUAAUACGUAGGUGGCAAGCGUUGUCCGGAAUUAUUGGGCGUAAAGGGCUCGCAGGCGGUUUCUUAAGUCUGAUGUGAAAGCCCCCGGCUCAACCGGGGAGGGUCAUUGGAAACUGGGAAACUUGAGUGCAGAAGAGGAGAGUGGAAUUCCACGUGUAGCGGUGAAAUGCGUAGAGAUGUGGAGGAACACCAGUGGCGAAGGCGACUCUCUGGUCUGUAACUGACGCUGAGGAGCGAAAGCGUGGGGAGCGAACAGGAUUAGAUACCCUGGUAGUCCACGCCGUAAACGAUGAGUGCUAAGUGUUAGGGGGUUUCCGCCCCUUAGUGCUGCAGCUAACGCAUUAAGCACUCCGCCUGGGGAGUACGGUCGCAAGACUGAAACUCAAAGGAAUUGACGGGGGCCCGCACAAGCGGUGGAGCAUGUGGUUUAAUUCCAAGCAACGCGAAGAACCUUACCAGG